Long non-coding RNA from Salmo salar (Atlantic salmon), 242 nucleotides. RefSeq lists it as uncharacterized. Lineage: Eukaryota; Metazoa; Chordata; Actinopteri; Salmoniformes; Salmonidae. The record is from RefSeq and is a predicted model, not a curated record.
CAUACCCAUUCACCACCACCGCGGAGUGAGUGUCAGUAUCCUACUAUGUGUCCGUGCAGUCAACUAGUAUAGUUAUUGUUUGUGAAAAUCUGUGUAUGAUGACCUACAACACAAAUGCGCAUCAUGACUUCAAUCAAGGCAACUUGGAACGUACCCGAUCCUCCCAUGCGAUCAUCCUCUUUCCCGGACCUGAGCCCUAGGACCAUGCCUCAGGACUACCUGGCAUGAUGACUCCUUGCUGU